Molecule: ribosomal RNA, 472 nt
Filed under: uncultured Acidovorax sp.
Lineage: Bacteria; Pseudomonadati; Pseudomonadota; Betaproteobacteria; Burkholderiales; Comamonadaceae
Description: bacterial SSU rRNA
Rfam family: Bacterial small subunit ribosomal RNA
Source: RNAcentral
UAGAAUUGACGGGACCGCACAAGCGGUGGAUGAUGUGGUUUAAUUCGAUGCAACGCGAAAACCUUACCACUUUGACAUGUACGGAAUCCUUUAGAGAUAGAGGAGUGCUCGAAAGAGAGCCGUAACACAGGUGCUGCAUGGCUGUCGUCAGCUCGUGUCGUGAGAUGUUGGGUUAAGUCCUGCAACGAGCGCAACCCUUGUCAUUAGUUGCUACAUUUAGUUGGGCACUCUAAUGAGACUGCCGGUGACAAGCCGGAGGAAGGUGGGGAUGACGUCAAGUCCUCAUGGCCCUUAUAGGUGGGGCUACACACGUCAUACAAUGGCCGGUACAGAGGGUAGCCAACCCGCGAGGGGGAGCCAAUCCCACAAAGCCGGUCGUAGUCCGGAUCGCAGUCUGCAACUCGACUGCGUGAAGUCGGAAUCGCUAGUAAUCGCGGAUCAGCAUGUCGCGGUGAAUACGUUCCCGGGUCUU